Molecule: transfer RNA, 85 nt
Filed under: Candidatus Amesbacteria bacterium RIFOXYB1_FULL_47_13
Lineage: Bacteria; Candidatus Amesiibacteriota
Also listed under: 2 other names
Description: tRNA-Leu
Rfam family: tRNA
About the family: Transfer RNA (tRNA) molecules are approximately 80 nucleotides in length.
Source: RNAcentral
GCCGGGGUGCUGAAAUGGUAAACAGGCUGGUCUCAAAAACCAGUGGGCCUAAAAGCCUAUGUGGGUUCGACUCCCUCCCCCGGCA